GAGCUCUCUCGCGUCAGGCAGCGGCGUUGUGAAAAUCCUCUCGAUUCAGGUGUCCGGAUAGCGCUCACGAAGUGGUAAACCUGGCGCAACACUCUGACGCCGUAGUGGGGAGUGUACCAUGAUCGAGCCAAGAUGGAGAACAAUUCGUAGUUUUCUAUUUCUAUCGAUACAUUCGUUUACGUUUUCCAGCACCCCAUGUCCGACGAACCCUUUCGACGCCACAUAACGAAUUAGCCAUCCACGAUGAAAUUUCUCGGUGUAGUAUCAAGAUAAUCAAUAAGUUUCAGCGAUUGAUUUGCAACUAUCGCAUAAUGGAAGCGACAAAUUUAUUUUCUCGUCUCUCAGUUCUAACCAUUGGUCACGACACCCUAUAUGCGUCAUCGAAACUCAUUUCUUUGGACAAUUAGCUUUCUUUUCGAUCGCUUUCCAGUUCGAUUGCUCAACAGCUAAUAAUUACAUUCGAACUCGCAACGUUACUCGUUGCAAGGUAUCGGGAGAGCAGCCCGCUAGGGGUUGAUUCGAGCCAUUGUCGGUCGAACGAUGUUUGGCCGUUGUCGAGCACGGCGGGACGCACGAUUAAUGAUACGUUUCAUACUCGUUUUCGUUCAUUGUCGAUGUUAAUCGAUUACUGGUCCCGCGAGAGCACGAGUUCCAACGCCAUUAGUUAAGAUUGGAAUAAAUUUCGGGUGAAAGUGGUCUAGGGCCUAAGGGUCGAUCGAUCCUCCCAGUGAUAAAUUUACCUGUCAAUUAACUUCGUUUCACCUUUCAGUUGUUCGAGAUAAUAGUCCGACGCUCGCUGGUGUAGGACCGUAGUUAAAAUUGUGUGCAAUGGACCGUUUGUAAACAAAUCGAUGGAUCUUAAAAAUCAGCUCGUUGCACGAGAUAGGAAGAACACAGAUUAGUUUCGUGGAUAUUUCGAGGAACUUUGGCAUUUUGCGCUCGUGUCAAAUAUCGUGCGAGAAGUUGAAAGUAUCGUCGCUUAAUUAACGGACUUUCUGCAAAGCGAAAACCAGUCAGAAGAAGAGGCGUACUUGGAAACGUGUACGGUAUCAAUUGAACUGUGAAAAUUUUUGCAACAAAUAUCGGGACAGGAAUCUAUUCAACUGGCCGCCAUUCAUUUCGUCUUAAGAACGUUAUCGAAGGAUUGUCAUAACCCGUGAAAGUAAGUGUCGUUUCGCAAUACUUUCAUGUUAUCAAACCGUAUUAGGUCUUCUCAGGAUUCAAGAUCGGUCAUUUGAUAUGCAAUACGCUAAUAGUUCCGAGAAUCCUGUACACGGUUUUAAGAAUUUCUUCUUCUUCCUGGACUUGCCGUGACGUCGCGACGUAUAUGCCUUUCUUCUCUUUUGUUUUUCUCGUUUUCUAUUAUCUUCUCCUUCUCUCGGUACUCUAUUCCUCUCUCGUUGGAUGCUGUUCCUCUCAGAAAGUCCCUUCGAAGAGGUAGGGCACGCGAAUGUGGGAGGGAGAGUUUCCGGUCGCCCACGCGACUCUGCAACAACCACUUCGCCGAGGUAUCAGGGACAAAACACGGGCCGGCGGAUGUCUCUUCUCUUCUGGGCAAAUGAAGAAGUCGCCUCACAUUCGGCAAAUAUAAUGAAAGCUCCCUGUUUCGUUUUCGCAUCCGUUCCAUGACCUGCCGACAGAAAUUCCUCUCGUUCCAUUUCUUUUCCAGCGGCGCCUAUUACCGAAUUUUGCAAAAACUGAACUUAUUUCGCAUCAGGUUCGAUCACCUGAAUUCGACACAGUUAAUAACACGAAGGAAAUAGUAAUUGCACGGAACUUCUCUGACGUAGGUGAUGAAAUUAGAAGAUGGACGAUGAAGGCAUCCGCGUUUGCAAUAUGCUUCGAACGAAUAGGAAUUAGAAAGCUCAUGGAAGGAGGCAAAGGAGGCAAGUCCUACGAAGGGUACAUAGCCGCGUUGCCACCGUGAAGCAAUAGAAAGGCUGCAGAGCGGGAAAUUGUUUGGCCGCGGCCGAUUCCAACGGUACAUUGGAACCACUCGACAGAGAAAAAGAGAACGAGAGAGAACAGACUCUUCUGGCCAGCUCCGCGUACGCACCACCCACCACGAAGUACUCGAGGAACGAGGAUUAUUCGUCCUUCGAGAGGAGAAUUCGGUGCUAAAGCCAUCUUCUUCGUCGCCUCCCUGUUUUCGUUUUCUUCCUUCGUCUCUCUUUUUUUCGUUCACCGUUUGGUCGGAACCAUCUAGCGGAAAAAGAAAGCGACCCAGAGAUUCUUAGGGGCGUCGAGGCGACCGUGCGAAAUCGACUUCACCGCGAAGAUCACGGUAAUAUUGAAUAAUAAUACGAUAUAAUUUAAUAACCGUGCCGCUGGAUGAUGCUUAAUGACGAUAAUGCUCGAGUACGACGGCCACCUAAGAUCAGCAGGGAGGCAGAAAAGUUUGCAGGUUGUUCCGCUUAAUCGCGUGUUUAUAUACGCUAUAGAUAAAUAUAUCCUUUCUCUUGCACGUUGUAAGCUCAAUUAACGAAAUGUACGCUGUUCAUUUCGUGAACAACGAUCAUCGAUUAAAGUGUUCGUUUACAUUGGCCUUCGCGACGAACCUUGGAACAAAGGCUGCACGCUGUUCCGCGACUGUGAAGAUAGACAAUGGAUCAGAGAGGCUGGUUAUCCAAUGCGGUCAUAUUAAGUAACCGCGAGGCUGGUUCAUAAUCGCGAUCGUAUCUGACCGUAAGAUGUCCCAACUUAUAGGCAGCGUAUCUCGAGAAUUUAUGUCACGGGUUGCACGCCAAUAGUUGGUCGCUAAACCGGACGAAAGACGACCGAAUCGUUAAUCGACGAUGAUUGCACGGAAAGUCGUAGGGAAGGAAAGGAUUCCGUUGCGAAUAACAGGAAUGUAGGACGGUAGGAGCCGUCGGUGAGGUUUCAAGGGCAAAAAGAUUUAUUGGAAAUGGUGCAUUUAAUUGCUUUUAAACGAUACUCAUCUCCGCGACCGUAAUCAACGUUGCGUCACGGUUGCAGGUAAUCGGCGUGGACUUUACGAUUACCUAUACGAUCGCGAGGGUACUCGAAGAGCACGCAAAACCAGAGAAACCACCGAUGUUCGGAUAAAAGUACGAGGAGCAGGCUGCUCGAUCGUGUCCCAGAGAUCGCUCCCCGAUGGAUUUAUAUUGGCAGUCGAUUAAAUUUCUUCGAGCAAUUUACAUCGGCUGAUUUAUCCAUCGAAUCGAAUCGGUCGUAAAUAAGUGUAGCGUGCGGUGCGUGGUGCGCGUCGAGUAUCACCGUUUACGACUGAAUCGACAGAAAAAGACAGAAGCGAGGAAGGUUGAGAGAAAGAAAGGAGAAAACGGAGGAAUCUGGGAAGCGGAGGUCCCGAAGAGUCGUAAUUUCGCAGCGAAUCGCGAGGGUGAGGACGCUGCCUCGAAACGGCGAGGAACAGUGGACAAACCGAGCGACGCGUCGCUGGACUUCGACCGCGCGACGCCACCGGAGAAGGAGAAAAGACGGGAGGAACAGGGACGUGCCGGAGGAAAAAAUAUAAAAAAGAAAAACGACCGGGUAAAUAAAGAUCGACCCGUCUCCCACGCCCGUGACCAUUGUUAUUAUAUAUCCCGUGGGGUAUUGUUCCCAUGGGAAAACUGGACAGGCCCGUUCUACCACCUAUAAGACACCGGCCAGCGAGAGAAUAUGCACGCACACACGCUUUUACUCGAGCCACGCCAGACUUCAGGUAACACACUCUUCUCUCUCUCGUCUCGGAGACGCGUGUGCUGCUCGCACGCGCGCAACCGAGCAAACGUGUAGCACACGCACGGGACAGGCCGCACACUCGAGCGCAGAUUUCAGAUAUUGUGGGGGGCGUUCACCUCGCAUCUCGGUCCUCGUGGUUCUCUCGUGUGAGAGUACACACGAACGGUCAGCGCGUACGCUCCUAUCUAUGUAUUUCGUCUCCUCUACGUUUCCGUGCAAGGCGUUGCAACGAGUAUCCUCGCGUGCCUGUGUACGUUGCACGGUGUAUAUGGUUGGUCUUACGCCGUUGGAACGCACACACGCGACAGAGCCAUGUUCGUACAGGCAACGGAGGUACUUCGGUGGAUGCUUGAGGAACAGGGUGCGGCUCAACCCACCUCGCUUGACUUACCUACCCGUAUUACCGUCUAGGUAGGUAUAUCCAGGCGCGAGCCACGCAGGAUACUAUGCCAUAUUUGCAUCCGUGAUCCAGGACACGUGUGUAUCCACGGGAGCGCGUGUGCGUUCUUUUUUUCUUCUUUCUCUUUCUUUCUCUUACCCUCUCGUAUCGUUUCCCUUCGUCUACGUGGACCAUUGCCUUCGCCGUGAUGCACCACCGCUCGUGAUUCUCUCCGUGUCUCUUUUACUCUUUCCUCCUUUUCUUCUUUUCCUUAAUUUUUAUCUUUUUCAUUUCGCUUUUGUCUCUCUUACGCGUACGAAAGUAUUCUCUCCUCCUUCGUCCUACUACGGAAGAUUAUAAAUUUGCAUGAUCGUGGACGUACAAAGAUGCACCAAGUUCAACAUUCGUUCCUAUAAAACAGGACUUUCGAGGUAAUGUCGAUAAACGAAUAUUUAGUUCUUAUUCUCUUUUCUAACUUUCUUUCUGUUUACAGCGUAAAUACCGUAACUGCGUAGAAAAGAAAAUCGUGUCUGGUUACGCAAAAAUUUGCGAUGGACUCGAUUGGAGAGGCGAGGCGGCUGGUCGAAUGUCACGGACGCGUCGAUAAUCAAU
RNAcentral lists this long non-coding RNA (4696 nucleotides) under Megachile rotundata (alfalfa leafcutting bee). Its description in RNAcentral is "uncharacterized LOC105664263, transcript variant X5". Lineage: Eukaryota; Metazoa; Arthropoda; Insecta; Hymenoptera; Megachilidae. The record is from RNAcentral.